Molecule: ribosomal RNA, 484 nt
Filed under: uncultured bacterium
Lineage: Bacteria
Description: partial 16S ribosomal RNA
Rfam family: Bacterial small subunit ribosomal RNA
Source: RNAcentral
AUUGAACGCUGGCGGCAUGCCUUACACAUGCAAGUCGAACGGCAGCACGGGAGUAAUCCUGGUGGCGAGUGGCGAACGGGUGAGUAAAGCAUCGGAACGUGCCCAGUCGUGGGGGAUAACGUAGCGAAAGCUACGCUAAUACCGCAUACGAUCUGUGGAUGAAAGCGGGGGACCGUAAGGCCUCGCGCGAUUGGAGCGGCCGAUGUCAGAUUAGGUAGUUGGUGAGGUAAAGGCUCACCAAGCCGACGAUCUGUAGCUGGUCUGAGAGGACGACCAGCCACACUGGGACUGAGACACGGCCCAGACUCCUACGGGAGGCAGCAGUGGGGAAUUUUGGACAAUGGGCGCAAGCCUGAUCCAGCAAUGCCGCGUGCAGGAUGAAGGCCUUCGGGUUGUAAACUGCUUUUGUACGGAGCGAAAGGGCUUCCACUAAUACUGGGGGCUCAUGACGGUACCGUAAGAAUAAGCACCGGCUAACUACGUG